Molecule: non-coding RNA, 571 nt
Organism: Castor canadensis (American beaver)
Lineage: Eukaryota; Metazoa; Chordata; Mammalia; Rodentia; Castoridae
Source: RefSeq, a predicted model, not a curated record
AGCGAGCCCCCAGAGCGUCUUCCGGCGGGAGCGGUCCCGCUCCUUAUCAUGGGGACAAUUCAUCUCUUUCGAAAACCACAAAGAUCCUUUUUUGGAAAGUUAUUACAGGAAUUUAGACUUGUAGCAGCUGACCGAAGGUCCUGGAAGAUACUGCUGUUUGUUGCAAUAAACUUGAUAUGCACUGGCUUCCUGCUUAUGUGGUGCAGUUCUACUAAUAGUAUAGCUUUAACUGCCUAUACUUACCUGACUAUUUUUGACCUUUUUAGGUAAGUUUUAAAAAACCUCCUUAACAUUUUAGAACCAAUAAGAAUUUGUUGCACUGGAUUUGUGAAGAAGUUUUCUUUACCUUAAGGAAAGUAAUUUGUGGACUGGAGGUGUGGCUCAAGCAGUAAAGCACCUGCUUUGCAAGCACGCAGCCUUAAGUUCAUUCCCACCAAAAAAAAAGGACGCAUCCCAGGCUAGCCUGGGAGUAUCUAAUGAUGGGAUUUCAGUGGCCAUAAAAGUUUCUGAGGGAAUUGGCCCUCCUAUUUAGAUUUCCAAGCUAGGUCCUCCAGAAUCUAAUGGAAAGUAA